GAUGAACGCUGGCGGCGUGCCUAAUACAUGCAAGUCGUGCGGAAAGGCUCCUUCGGGAGUACUCGAGCGGCGGACGGCAGAGUAACGCGUAGGAACGUACCCCAAAGUGAGGAAUAACUGCCCGAAAGGGUAGCUAAUGCCGCAUAUGCUCUAAGGAGUAAAGCUUUCGAGCGCUUUGGGAACGGCCUGCGUCCGAUUAGCUAGUUGGUGAGGUAAUAGCUCACCAAGGCGACGAUCGGUAGCUGGUCUGAGAGGAUGAUCAGCCUGACUGGGACUG
This 277-nucleotide ribosomal RNA is filed under the name uncultured bacterium. RNAcentral's name for it is "partial 16S ribosomal RNA". It matches the Rfam family "Bacterial small subunit ribosomal RNA", at positions 28 to 321 of the family's 1533-position model. The record is from RNAcentral.